UCUUUUUCUCACGCAAAGCCACAAUAAUUAUUUGCUUUUUCCAUUUAAGGUAAUCAAUAUUGAUAUAAAUUGGAGUGAUAUGAAACCAAUUAUAUUCAUUUCCAAACAAUAUUAUCAAUCAGAAGAAGAAGAAGAAAAUAGUGCAAUGGCAAAAACAAGUGCUUCAGUUAUUCUAGCUGUCCUUGUUAUUAUAUCAGUAUUUCUGAAUGGCUAUAAUGCUGAGAAAGCAGGAGUAGACGGAAUGUUACAUUGCUUUCCUGAAAUAUGUCCUAAUUAUAACUGUACAGAAUUUUGUAUGGCAAAAGGGUACCCUAAAGGUUGGUGUUUAUUAACCACUGGAAUGUGUUGUUGCCCUGAUGAAAAGAUCCAUGUUUGAUAAUUCUACAUUUUCAACAUAAUUGUACAAGUAUAUCAACAAUAUAAUCUCUAAAGUUUUUAUUAAAAUAAGUUGAAAAGCUACUAUUGUAAGUUCAAUUACGAUGUAAUUUCCUAUAUUAAGAAUUGCCCAUUAUCAAAUUUGACAUAUACAUCAUUUAAGGUUCAA
Molecule: long non-coding RNA, 544 nt
Organism: Lathyrus oleraceus (garden pea)
Lineage: Eukaryota; Viridiplantae; Streptophyta; Magnoliopsida; Fabales; Fabaceae
Exons: 2
Source: RefSeq, a predicted model, not a curated record